CUUCACAUGCACUUCCUCUUAAAACCCUGAAGACUCAGUAUUCGUCUUCAAUUAUUCCUCCUUACAUGAAGAAAAUGGUGACACCUUCCUCAAUCUCUCCUCCUCUUAUUUCCCUUAGGAUUUAUCACCUCCUCCUUUAUCUUUAAGCAGUUUCUUUAUUUAGGAUUCUUCUUUUUUUUCCCCUUCUCUUUUAUGCCAUAUUCAUCUUGGAUCUUUCGUUUUCUUUAUGGGGGCUGGUUUCUCUGGUUUUGCUUUGGCCAGUAAUGGAGAUCCUUCUCUACUAAGACCCAGUCUUGAUGAUGUGCCGGAGAGUUGUGUCUCUUCUAUUCUUAUGUACUUGGAUCCACCGGAGAUAUGUAAACUGGCCGGGUUGAACCGGACCUUCCAUGGCGCUUCUUUAGCCGAUUUGGUAUGGGAGACAAAGUUGCCUUCAAACUAUAAGUUUCUUGUUGAGAAAAUUUUACAAGAAAGUCCAGCGAGUUUGAGCAAGAAAGAGAUUUAUGCGAGAUUGUGUCACGCUAAUUGCUUCGAUGGUGGCACCAAGCAAGCUUGGCUGGAUAAGAGUAGCGGCAAGAUUUGUCUGUCGGUCUCGUAUAAGGCAUUAAGAAUUACUGGGAUAGAUGAUCGAAGAUAUUGGAAUCAUAUUCCAUCUGAGGAAUCCAGGUUCAAUACAAUUGCAUAUCUUCAACAAAUUUGGUGGUUUGAAGUAGUAGGAGAAAUGGAGUUUGAAUUUCCACCAGACACAUACACUCUCUCCUUCAGACUCCAAUUAGGCAAAGCUUCAAAAAGAUUUGGCCGACGAAUAUGUAAUAUCGAUCAAGUUCAUGGAUGGAACAUAAAACCCGUUCAAUUUCAGCUAUCAACGUCGAGUGGCCAGCAAGUUUCAUCAGAACGUUAUUUGCAUGAACAAGGAAAUUGGAUUUACUACGAUAUAGGUGAAUUCACAGUAGAGAAACUUCACACGCAAAUAAAGAUAAAAUUUUCGAUGAUGCAGAUCGAUUGUACGCAUCCUAAAGGUGGCGUAUGCCUGGAUUCUGUGUUCAUAUGCCCUAGUGAGUUGAGCCAGAAAUUAAACCAAAAUUAAGCAGUGAAAAAUAUAAAUAUGUUGAGGUGGUUGGUAAUAUACAGAGUAUAUGUAGAUAAGGAGAUGGCCUUUUUUUUUGGUGUUUCUCUGCAUGUACAAACAAAUAUAGUAUCAUGUAAUUUUUUUUUUUUUGGCAAAUAA
RNAcentral lists this unclassified non-coding RNA (1225 nucleotides) under Hevea brasiliensis (rubber tree). The record is from RNAcentral. Lineage: Eukaryota; Viridiplantae; Streptophyta; Magnoliopsida; Malpighiales; Euphorbiaceae.